This 441-nucleotide long non-coding RNA is filed under the name Elaeis guineensis (African oil palm). RNAcentral's name for it is "long non-coding RNA (EGUI_LNC007247)". Lineage: Eukaryota; Viridiplantae; Streptophyta; Magnoliopsida; Arecales; Arecaceae. The record is from RNAcentral.
GAUCAUUCCGCAGAAUCUGAUAGUCGAGUAGCAUCCGACGUAUUCGGAUAGGAUAACGAUGGCAAGUCGAAUAUCCAUUGUCCGGCCCUUGGUCGGACGUAUGCGUCGGGAUGUAUGAUAAACGGUGGCAAGCCGAAUAUCCUUCGAUCGGUCAUGACCAGAUCGGUAUGUCGCGAAUACAACUGCGGUCGUCUUAGCGUUUUGCCUUUCUUAGUCGAAGCUAAGUCGGCAAGUUAGCCAGCCGCAUUAGUCGAAGCCCUUUGCCUUCAGAGGUGGGGGCCGUCGUAGAUAUUCCGCUCCUUCGAUCUCCGUUGUAGAAUCCGAUAUGUCCUCGACGAUCGAGACGUAGAUUGAGCCAUUGGUUCGGCGAUUCGUCGAUCAGGCCGACGACGGAGUCGUAGAUUCGGCGAUCGGCAAUCGAGCCAUGUUGGUCGGGACCUU